CACCGCCGCGGGAAUACAGAGGGUGCGAGCGUUAAUCGGAUUUACUGGGCGUAAAGCGUGCGUAGGCGGCUUUUUAAGUCGGAUGUGAAAUCCCUGAGCUUAACUUAGGAAUUGCAUUCGAUACUGGGAAGCUAGAGUAUGGGAGAGGAUGGUAGAAUUCCAGGUGUAGCGGUGAAAUGCGUAGAGAUCUGGAGGAAUACCGAUGGCGAAGGCAGCCAUCUGGCCUAAUACUGACGCUGAGGUACGAAAGCAUGGGGAGCAAACAGGAUUAGAUACCCCCGUAGUCCCUGUCUCUUAUACA
This 301-nucleotide ribosomal RNA is filed under the name uncultured bacterium. RNAcentral's name for it is "partial 16S ribosomal RNA". It matches the Rfam family "Bacterial small subunit ribosomal RNA", at positions 510 to 808 of the family's 1533-position model. The record is from RNAcentral.